UACGGAGGGUGCAAGCGUUAUCCGGAUUCACUGGGUUUAAAGGGUGCGUAGGUGGGUCUGUAAGUCAGUGGUGAAAUCUCCGAGCUUAACUCGGAAACUGCCAUUGAUACUAUAGGUCUUGAAUUUUCUGGAGGUAAGCGGAAUAUGUCAUGUAGCGGUGAAAUGCUUAGAUAUGACAUAGAACACCAAUUGCGAAGGCAGCUUACUACAGGAACAUUGACACUGAGGCACGAAAGCGUGGGGAUCAAACAGG
Molecule: ribosomal RNA, 253 nt
Filed under: uncultured bacterium
Lineage: Bacteria
Description: partial 16S ribosomal RNA
Rfam family: Bacterial small subunit ribosomal RNA
Source: RNAcentral